This 387-nucleotide ribosomal RNA is filed under the name uncultured bacterium. RNAcentral describes it as "bacterial SSU rRNA". It matches the Rfam family "Bacterial small subunit ribosomal RNA", at positions 29 to 417 of the family's 1533-position model. The record is from RNAcentral.
AUUGAACGCUGGCGGCAUGCUUUACACAUGCAAGUCGAACGGCAGCGCGGGGGCAACCCUGGCGGCGAGUGGCGAACGGGUGAGUAAUGCAUCGGAACGUAUCCUGUAAUGGGGGAUAACGUAGCGAAAGUUACGCUAAUACCGCAUACGCUCGAGAGAGGAAAGUGGGGGAUCACAAGACCUCACGUUAUAGGAGCGGCCGAUGUCCGAUUAGCUAGUUGGUGGGGUAAAGGCCUACCAAGGCGACGAUCGGUAGCUGGUCUGAGAGGAUGAUCAGCCACACUGGGACUGAGACACGGCCCAGACUCCUACGGGAGGCAGCAGUGGGGAAUUUUGGACAAUGGGCGAAAGCCUGAUCCAGCCAUGCCGCGUGCGGGAAGAAGGCCU